AGGAUGACACAGUGGCUUCUAUUAGGAUGGUCUAACAACGUGCCAGCAGACGCGGUUAGACGUUGCAUCCAAGUGUAUUAAAAAAGCAAAAAGGGUGUUGAGGCGGAGGAAGAAAAGAUAGUUGUAAUUUUUUUGUAAAGAUAAAAUUUAAUUAUAAAAAAAGGUGGGCUUGAGGUGAAGGCGAAUUAUUAUUCAUUCUAAUGUUUGAACACGAAAGUAAGGGGAAUUAACGGGAUUAGAUACCCCGGUAGUCUUUACUGUAAACUAGGAUAGAUUCGUAAAGCUAAACAAAAAAUAAAAAUGCUUAAUCAAAAUAAAAUUUUAUUUUGAUUAAUUAAACAAAAAAAUAAAAUUAAUUUUUAUUUUUUUUGAUUAAUUAUAUAAUUUUAUUUAAAAAUACUAUAUGAAUUGGGUUCCGCUUGAAGAGUACGGCCGCAAGGCUGAAAUUUAAUGGAUUUGGCGGUUCAUGGGAAAUUAGAGGAGCGUGUAGUUUAAUUCGAUAGUGCCCGGGAAUCUUACCUUCAUUAAGUGGUAUUGCAUGGCCGUUAUAAGUUUUUAUUGAAAGAUAAAGGCGGUACCUCAUGUGGGGGAGAAGACAGGUCAUUAUGGUCUUGAUAUGGGGGGAUGUAUGCGCUACAUUUUUAUAGAGAUAUAAGUGCGGAAAAUGUGUUGAAAGGCAGUUGGAAGUAGGAUUUAAUAGUAAUUGGGUGUAGAGGGGCCCUGUGAAUGUUUUCAUAUGUUCGUACAAAUUGCCCGUCAAUUUCUUGAAAGGAGGAAUAAGUCGUAACAAAGUAAGGGUACUGGAAAGUGUUCUUGGAUAA
This 821-nucleotide ribosomal RNA is filed under the name Vaceletia sp. GW948. Its description in RNAcentral is "small subunit ribosomal RNA". It matches the Rfam family "Bacterial small subunit ribosomal RNA", at positions 466 to 1525 of the family's 1533-position model. The record is from RNAcentral. Lineage: Eukaryota; Metazoa; Porifera; Demospongiae; Dictyoceratida; Verticillitidae.